This 461-nucleotide ribosomal RNA is filed under the name uncultured Alishewanella sp. RNAcentral describes it as "bacterial SSU rRNA". It matches the Rfam family "Bacterial small subunit ribosomal RNA", at positions 920 to 1382 of the family's 1533-position model. Lineage: Bacteria; Pseudomonadati; Pseudomonadota; Gammaproteobacteria; Alteromonadales; Alteromonadaceae. The record is from RNAcentral.
CCCGCACAAGCGGUGGAGCAUGUGGUUUAAUUCGACGCAACGCGAAGAACCUUACCUACUCUUGACAUCUACAGAACUUGGUAGAGAUACCUUGGUGCCUUCGGGAACUGUAAGACAGGUGCUGCAUGGCUGUCGUCAGCUCGUGUUGUGAAAUGUUGGGUUAAGUCCCGCAACGAGCGCAACCCUUAUCCUUAGUUGCCAGCGAUUCGGUCGGGAACUCUAGGGAGACUGCCGGUGAUAAACCGGAGGAAGGUGGGACGACGUCAAGUCAUCAUGGCCCUUACGAGUAGGGCUACACACGUGCUACAAUGGUAUGUACAGAGGGAGGCAAGCUGGCGACAGUGAGCGGAUCUCUUAAAGCAUAUCGUAGUCCGGAUUGGAGUCUGCAACUCGACUCCAUGAAGUCGGAAUCGCUAGUAAUCGCAAAUCAGAAUGUUGCGGUGAAUACGUUCCCGGGCCUU